RNAcentral lists this unclassified non-coding RNA (245 nucleotides) under Hevea brasiliensis (rubber tree). Lineage: Eukaryota; Viridiplantae; Streptophyta; Magnoliopsida; Malpighiales; Euphorbiaceae. The record is from RNAcentral.
AAAAGAAGCCAAUAAUAGGAUAUUCAAAGCAAAUCCAGUCAUGAAAGAUUAAGCUUCAAACUUUUCAUGCUUUGCAUUCUUCUCCAUAGAAGUCGAUCGUUCUUUUCUGAUUUCCAUUGCUGGCAUUGCAGGGACCCAAUUCCACUGCCAGAGAAAGUGCGGAAACCCCUCACACAAGUUCAAUAAUUUAACCUACAUGUUGAUCACAGGGCUGUGGAUAGAGCAGAAUGUGAUCAAAAGUUAAG